This 509-nucleotide ribosomal RNA is filed under the name uncultured bacterium. RNAcentral describes it as "bacterial SSU rRNA". It matches the Rfam family "Bacterial small subunit ribosomal RNA", at positions 29 to 518 of the family's 1533-position model. The record is from RNAcentral.
ACUAACGCUGGCGGCGUGCCUAACACAUGCAAGUCGGACGAUUCGUCUUUGUAGCAAUAUAGAAGACGGGGAGUGGCGCACGGGUGAGUAACACAUAGAUGAUCUGCCUUCAGACAGGGACAACUCAGGGAAACUUGAGCUAAUACCAGAUAAGACCACAUGAAGGGAUUCACGUGACCAAAGGGGGAGCAAUCUCCUGCUGGAAGAUGAGUCUAUGUCCUAUCAGCUAGUUGGUGGGGUAAGGGCCUACCAAGGCGAAGACGGGUAGCCGGCCUGAGAGGGUGAACGGCCACACUGGAACUGAGACACGGUCCAGACUCCUACGGGAGGCAGCAGUGAGGAAUUUUCCGCAAUGGGCGCAAGCCUGACGGAGCGACGCCGCGUGGAGGGAUGAAGGUUUUCGGAUACGUAAACCUCUUUUAUCAAGGAGAAAGUCUUUUAUGCUAAUAACAUAGAAGAUUGAUAGUACUUAAUGAAUAAGCCCCGGCUAACUACGUGCCAGCCGCCGC